Molecule: long non-coding RNA, 3228 nt
Organism: Bos taurus (domestic cattle)
Lineage: Eukaryota; Metazoa; Chordata; Mammalia; Artiodactyla; Bovidae
Source: Ensembl
GGAUUUCCAUUGUUGAAGGAUGCUCCAAAAGUUUUUGGCACGAUUGGUGAUCAUUUACUCUGGCACACCAAAAGCCAAUAGGGCAAAUUUUAUAAAAAGAAAAGCCUUUUAGGGUGGAGUGAUCAGAACCAAUUAAGCUGACAGUGGAAGAGCAAAACUCAGGCAACUGAUACAAGAAAGUGACUACAGUUUAUAGAUAUAUGUGGCCGUUUGUUUUAUGGUUUAUAAAGAGAAAAAUAUCGAACACAGAGCACAUGCUUAUUUACUCUCAUUUUUGCUGUGACUUGUAAAGUGGCCCAGGUUGAGCCACUUUACUUUUUUCUGUCCCAUCUGAAAAAAAAAAUAACAUUUUCUGUAUCCUUAUAAGACAAUCAAGUUGAUGUGAAUAUAACAGCUGCUUCUAGCAGUUUUCGAGCCCAAAGUAAAUGGUUGUGGGCUUUUUUUGGUUGUAACUGAUGCCCUGUCUUGUUUUGCUUCGUUUUUCUUCGCAUUGCUCUCGGAUCUCUGUUUUAUGAUCAAAGGAAAACAUGAUGGCUUGCUUCACUGACAGUCAUUUCCAGCUCAUCAGCAUUAUUGAUUUCAGAUUCACCGUGAAAAGAAAACUGUAAAACUGACACUGGGAAAGUGAUUCUCUGAACUUAGAGGUCAACUUGAACCAGGAAAGAUGGAACCCGUGGAAAGAUUUGGCUCACCGCGCUGAACAGGUGUGAGUCGUGAUUAAUUCUGAAGCGAUGCCUCUGCGUCAGUCCCCCGGGCUGCCCUCUCGCACAUCCCUGCUCUUGCUGCCACCCCGCCUUCUAUCUUCCAAAGCCGGGUGGGCACAGAGCUAGAGUCAGGUGCGGCCAUCAAAGUGAGUGGGUGACGCUUGUCCGAGUCCUGCGGAGUGAGCCAGUGCUGUGUGACUCACCUUCGUGAUAUCAGUAAAGCUCCAAGCCUCUUGCCUGGGAAUUGACAAAGGAAACUCUAUUCUGAAUAUGUCACUAUUUGAAUCUUUAAAUGUAAUCCACUUACCAGUCAACUGACAAACGUUCUCCAUAUUCUUCAGGUUGUUUCUAAUCUUUCUCCUAAUCACUUUUGCAGCCUGGCUGGAUUUUAUUGGGUUUAUGUGUGUUAGCUUUGAGAAGGAAUGGAAACACCUGCUUCUCUGAGAUGAUCAUUAUGUACCACCCCCUGCCUCGUCCCCCACCACAGCUCGGGUAGAGCAGAAAGGUGAUCUCAUAGGGUUUUUCCACACAAUUAUUCUGAUUUUUAAAACACAAGUAUGUGAAAGCCCCAAUCAUUGCCUCUUAAAAUCCCCUUUGUGUUCAAAGAGGAAGCUUGGGGAAUAGUUUCAGCAAAGUAUCGGGAGUAUCAGAUAGCACUGAUUCACCCAGUUCUGGAAACAAACCUCAGUUUCUUCAAUCAUUGGUUCAAGAUGAGAAAACUCCAAAAAUGUGAAAACUUCCCUUUGUCGUGUACUAAUUUGGCCACAAACUAGAGAUCAGCCUGUCCUCUGACAAAUGUGACACGUGAAUUUGACAAGUGUUCCGUCUUCUUCCACCCCAGUUCAUGCUGCGCCCUUCUGGCUACAUUGCUCCCUGGGUUCUCUAUUCAAGUCUUCCUCAUCUUUGGAGGUCCCACUGUCUCCUGGUAACCUUCUCCAACUUACUGGCUUAGAGGGAGCUUUUCCUCCCCUGAACUCUGGCACAUAUAUCAGAAUCUCUCAAUUGACAUUUAGUCAAUUUCCAGGGUAGAGAUUUUGCUGAAUUCUUACUCCCACACCUGUAGGGGUGCUGGUGCUUUGCCUACAGUGCUGAUGUGUAGUGUUGGCUGGGCAUCAGGAUUACCUGUGCAGCUUUUAGGGAUUACACAUGUCCCAGUCUCACACCACACCUUCUGAAUCAGGCUCACUGCUUGGGUGAUUCUGAUUUACCCCUGGAGUGAGAGCUACCACUUUGCCAUUAUUGUAGGAAUUACAUGAGCUAAUAUGUUGAAGUGAAGUGAAGUGUUAGUCACUCAAAGGUGUCCAGCUCUUUUCAACCCCAUGGACUAGGGCUCUCCAGGCUCCUCUGUCCAUGGGAUUCUCCAGAGAAGGAUACUGAAGUGGGUUGCCCUUUCCUUCUCUAGGAGAUCUUCCCAACCCAGGGGUUGAACCCAGGUCUCCUGCAUUGCAGGCAGACUCUUUACUGUGUGAGCCACCAGCGAAGCUCUCAGUAGAGGUAUAUUGACAGGCACUUUUUUUUUUUUUUUAAUUAAGCUCUAGACUUUCAUUAUCGGAGAAGGCAAUGGCACCCCACUCCAGUACUCUUGCCUGGAAAAUCCCAUGGACGGAGGAGCCUGGUGGGCUGCAGUCCAUGGGGUCGCUAAGAGUCGGACACGACUGAGUGACUUCACUUUCACUUUUCACUUUCCUGCAUUGGAGAAGGCAGUGGCAACCCACUCCAGUGUUCUUGCCUGGAGGAUCCCAGGGACGGGGGAGCCUGGUGGGCUGCUGUCUCUGGGGUCGCACAGAGUUGGACACAACUGAAGCGACUUAGCAGCAGCAGCAGCAGACUUUCAUUAUAAAUUACAACUUGAAUGCUAUGGCUGCUUCCUAGCUCCUCCUUCAGCCGCUAGCUCCUAGUCCCUUCCUUUUCAGCAGAACCUCUAUAUGUUUCGAGGGCUUCCCCUCCUCAACACAGUCCGCUUGCUUCAGGGGAAGUCCUCCCCACCCUCAGUGUGAGGGGAGGGGCUGAACGUCUAUGAGGUUAAGUCCAUGGCUCAGGAACAGGUGUGUGACCCAGUUACGGCCACUGAGAAGCAAGAAGAGUGCUAAAGGCUCUGGGAAGGGUCUUCCUCUUUACUCUUUCUCCUGCUAUUAUCUUUGUUACUGGCAGCCACCUGUGGUCUUUCUCUCUCUCCCUCCUCUUUCCCCCUUUUCCAGAAGGGGGAAAGAAGGUUUAGGAUGAAUCUGAAAAAUCAUGCAUCGUUAAUGUUGAGCAAAACAAACCUGAGUUGAUCUCAAUUUGGACUUCCAUGUAUGUGCACCAAUAAAUGCCUAAUUGUUUAAAACAGUUCUGUUAUUGUGGCUGAAUUAUCCUUCUAGACAUACUUGUGUUUAUUCCUUUGAUCCCAAGUAUCACCUGGCAUAAUGCCCUGUUUAGGAAAUUGUCAAUAAGCAUUUGUUGAAUGAAUGAAUGAAUGCAUAAAAGUGCCUAUAUAUACAAGUACUGGAGACAUAGUAGCCUAACAAAAUCCCAGUCUUCAUGG